This 3632-nucleotide unclassified non-coding RNA is filed under the name Apis florea (little honeybee). Its description in RNAcentral is "chaoptin, transcript variant X3". The record is from RNAcentral. Lineage: Eukaryota; Metazoa; Arthropoda; Insecta; Hymenoptera; Apidae.
UCUUAUCGAGCUUACGUUCAGUUGCCUUCUCAUAACUUUUUUUGAUCAUGAAUAUGAAAAACCAAACGUGAAAGCUAAUAAAAAUUUGAAAUUAUUUAAAAUGAUUAGUUGAACGAUAAAAUUAAUCUAAUAAACAAUGUUUUAAUUACCGAAAAUUAAUAUCGGAAAAGAUGCUGUUAAACAAGCAGGUGUGUUCCAUAUAUACAGAGAUCUUUUUUAUUUUUUGUAUAUCGAAUUUGAUAGAAUGCUUUAGUGUACCAUGCACAUUUAAUACCAUGUGCAUGUGUUGGAUCCAAGACGACGAGGAUUUCACGAAAAUGGAUAUUAAUUGUAUGGGAGUACCAUUUGCCAGAUUUCCAGAUGUCUCCGUGAGUUAUGUGGCUCAAUUAGACGUAGUUGGAUCUGGAAUGCAAUCGUUAGACAAUGAUGCACUUACAAGUUCAGUCGGUGUCGAAGCUUUGGGAUUAAUGAGCAAUCGAUUGUCCAAUAUUGGCGAUAAAUCUUUUUCAGGUAUUGCGGACAGUUUACGCUCGUUAGAUCUCAGCUACAAUGCCUUGGAGGAUGUGCCAUUUAAAGUCUUUCGUGACUUGAAGAAACUAAAUUGGCUCAACAUGCACAGCAAUCAUUUAACAUCGCUAGACGGUGACUGGGGUCACUCGAAAGAUGCACUAACAAACGCUUUCUUCGGGGAUAAUUCAAUCAUCGAGAUACCAAAAAUAUUCAACACAUUCGAAUCUCUAGUCUGGUUGAAUCUCGACAAUAAUAAUAUCGAGGAAAUUUCAGAAGACACUCUACCUCCCAACAUACACACUCUUAGUUUGAACAGUAAUCUCCUUAAAUCCUUUCCAUCCACAUUGAAAUUCUUGAAACAGCUCACGUGGUUAUAUCUGAGGGGGAACGACUUCAAAAAUCUCGAGCUACCCGAUUUUCAAACUUCAGAUUUAGAAUUGGUCGACGUGAGUGAAAAUUGCAUCGAAUGGAUUCGUACGUCGAGCUUGGCCAAUCGAACUUUGAAAAUUAAAGAGUUCAAUUUGGAUAGCAAUAAAUUGACAUUGUUACCUGCUGGAAUUUUCGAUCAUCUUGAAAUCAAGAGGAUACAUCUAUCCUCGAAUUCGAUCAAAAAUGUCGACGAUGAUGCAUUUCGAGGGCUCGAGGAUAUGUUGGAGUACUUGAAUUUGGAGAACAAUGAUCUUCCUAGCGUUCCAGGAGCUGUCAGUCGAUUGAGAAAGUUGUCGUAUCUGUAUCUUGCCAACAAUGACAUAAGGAAUAUAUCUGGAGACAUAUUUCAUGAGUUUGGUGAAAAUUUGCGAGCACUUUCAUUGGCUACAAAUAGUUUGGACGCGGUUCCAGUUGCUGCUCUUUCUAGAUGCCAGAGGUUACUGCACCUUAAUCUCGGUUACAACAAAAUUUCUUAUAUUCAAUCGGGUGAUUUUGAAUGGGCAGAAGAUCUUGAAAUUCUCUUGCUUAGGAAUAAUAUAUUGACAAAAUUGAAAGAUGAAACCUUUAAAGGAGCAAAAAAGCUUAAGGAACUCAGCUUGUCCUUCAAUCACUUAACAGAGCUUAGCGACGAUUGCUUCAUUGGCAUCGAGGAGAGUCUCGACAUUCUCGAACUAAGUUUCGCUUUUGCGACUGAUGUGUUUCCCCAACGAGCUCUCAGGCCUCUUUCCAAUCUGCUCUGGCUUGUCUUGGAUAACAAUAACUUUCAGACCAUAGAGGCAACCGCGUUUUACUCCUUCCAACGAUUACGCUACAUCAAUCUGGAAUCGAAUCGACUUCAUUAUCUACCAGAACGAAUAUUCCUGUCCAGCGUGCAUCCAGAAUUGAGAGAUGUGAAGCUCGGUUACAAUUUCCUCGAAGCCAUCCCAGAAUUCAGUUUUCACAAUUUGACAGAACUAAGAUCUUUGGAUUUGACUGGGAACAGAAUAAAGAUUCUCAAUUCUGACUCGAUCAUGGAUUGUCCGGAAUUGGUGACGAUUUCGUUGGCUUACAAUCGUAUCACCAAAAUGGAGAAAAACGUUUUUUACGGUUUGCCCAAUUUGCGCUUCCUUCAUUUGGAAUUUAAUAAAUUAACCACGUUGGAUCUAGACGCAAUCUCGGAGAUAGGUGGCCCAGAUUUUGCUCUUAAUGUUUCUUAUAACGCAAUUUCUAUUAUAAAUUCAGCAGGAUUGAUGAACAAUUUGACCAGACUCGAUUUGAGUUUUAAUAAUAUUAGUCACCUGCCAGCGGACACGUUUUAUGGCACCCCAGAUCUGAAGAUUUUGGAUCUUCAAAGUAAUUUCAUCGUUGUUCUCGAACCAGGUACUUUUACAUUAAGACACUUGGAAACGUUAAAUAUACGGAACAACAAGAUAGAAGGUUUAAGAAAACAAUCUUUCCACGGUUUAGAAUUGUUGCAACAAUUAGACUUGAGCGAAAAUCAAAUUGCACAAUUGCUUACCGAACAAUUUCGUAAUUUGAAGAAUCUACGAAUCUUAAAUUUAUCCGGAAAUAAAAUAAGAUCCUUGCCCAGAGACGUUUUCGAAGGAACAAAAUUGGAAAUUCUUGAUCUGAGCAAUAAUAAAUUUACCGUGGUACCAUCGCCAUCCUUUCUCGAGGUUGGUUAUACGUUAAGGGAUCUCAAUUUGGCGGAUAAUUUCGUGGACCAUCUAGAUUCGACUGCUUUCCCAACUUCGCAAUUGGUUUCCUUAAAUUUGGCGCACAACAGGCUAACAAUUCUGCCAGAUAAUUCGUUCGUCUCUUUGGGAAAACUUUUGAGCCUGAACGUGUCUCAAAAUGUUCUUCAGGCGAAUUUUAAGGAGCUGUUCCAUUAUUUGCCCGGAUUGAGACAACUCUAUUUGGCUAAUUGCGGUCUUAAAGACAUACCUCUUCUUCCAUUGAUGAAUUUAAACGUUUUGGAUUUAUCAUUUAAUUACAUAGAUUCAACACCCGAUAAACAAUUUCAAUAUUUGAAAGAUUUGAAGAUUCUGUUGUUCGUGAACGAUUCGUUGACCUCUAUGCCUAACAUCAAGUUGAAUCUGUUGAGAGAACUUGACGUGUCAGGAAAUCCAAUAGAGGUAUUAAUGAAGGAGAGCUUUCUGGGUUAUCCAAGAUUAGAAAAGCUGAACUUACGAAAUCUGAAUAAAACUAAAUCGGUGGACAAAGACUGCCUUCGUGUCUUAAAAUACUUGAAGCAUCUUCGAAUUCAAACGUGGCCUGAAGCGGAUGGUUUUCACCUUCGACCCCUUUUAAUUGGAUUACCGUUGAGAACUGUGGAGAUACAAGUAAUGAUCUCGAAUCAAUCUCCUCGGAAGCUUUCUCUACUAUCGAAGGUGGUGAACUAAUAUUGAGGAUCAGAGAUACUCGAGUCCGUCGAUUGCAGUCCGAUAUGUUCCUCUCCUUGACGAAAAGACUCUCUCAAUUAACACUGGAUUUGAGAAACAAUCACAUCAACGAGCUUAGUCCUUCGGUUAUCUAUGGGAAUCUUUCGUGGGAGAGUGUUGGGACCAAUAUGGUUGCUGGAGGCCUACAAGUGUCAGGAAAUCCUCUCGAAUGCGAUUGUGAGAUAGCUUGGCUCAGCUUAUGGUUGCGAAGAUGGCUUCGAGAAUCUCGACAAAUCCAUACUGCUUCGCAAUCGGAUGCCCGACAAUUAAGAA